Molecule: ribosomal RNA, 466 nt
Filed under: Salmonella enterica subsp. enterica serovar Kentucky
Lineage: Bacteria; Pseudomonadati; Pseudomonadota; Gammaproteobacteria; Enterobacterales; Enterobacteriaceae
Description: bacterial LSU rRNA
Rfam family: Bacterial large subunit ribosomal RNA
Source: RNAcentral
GGGCGUUAAGUUGCAGGGUAUAGACCCGAAACCCGGUGAUCUAGCCAUGGGCAGGUUGAAGGUUGGGUAACACUAACUGGAGGACCGAACCGACUAAUGUUGAAAAAUUAGCGGAUGACCUGUGGCUGGGGGUGAAAGGCCAAUCAAACCGGGAGAUAGCUGGUUCUCCCCGAAAGCUAUUUAGGUAGCGCCUCGUGAAUUCAUCUCCGGGGGUAGAGCACUGUUUCGGCUAGGGGGCCAUCCCGGCUUACCAACCCGAUGCAAACUGCGAAUACCGGAGAAUGUUAUCACGGGAGACACACGGCGGGUGCUAACGUCCGUCGUGAAGAGGGAAACAACCCAGACCGCCAGCUAAGGUCCCAAAGUCAUGGUUAAGUGGGAAACGAUGUGGGAAGGCCCAGACAGCCAGGAUGUUGGCUUAGAAGCAGCCAUCAUUUAAAGAAAGCGUAAUAGCUCACUGGUCGAG